Molecule: ribosomal RNA, 429 nt
Filed under: Bacteroidota bacterium
Lineage: Bacteria; Pseudomonadati; Bacteroidota
Description: Bacteroidetes bacterium partial 16S ribosomal RNA
Rfam family: Bacterial small subunit ribosomal RNA
Source: RNAcentral
UAUGGAAUCUUCCGCAAUGGACGCAAGUCUGACGGAGCAACGCCGCGUGAGUGAAGAAGGAUUUCGGUUCGUAAAACUCUGUUGUUAGAGAAGAACAGCGCAUAGAGUAACUGUUAUGCGUGUGACGGUAUCUAACCAGAAAGCCACGGCUAACUACGUGCCAGCAGCCGCGGUAAUACGUAGGUGGCAAGCGUUGUCCGGAUUUAUUGGGCGUAAAGCGAGCGCAGGCGGUCAAUUAAGUCUGAUGUGAAAGCCCCCGGCUCAACCGGGGAGGGUCAUUGGAAACUGGUUGACUUGAGUGCAGAAGAGGAGAGUGGAAUUCCAUGUGUAGCGGUGAAAUGCGUAGAUAUAUGGAGGAACACCAGUGGCGAAGGCGACUCUCUGGUCUGUAACUGACGCUGAGGCUCGAAAGCGUGGGGAGCGAACAGG